Molecule: ribosomal RNA, 253 nt
Filed under: uncultured bacterium
Lineage: Bacteria
Description: partial 16S ribosomal RNA
Rfam family: Bacterial small subunit ribosomal RNA
Source: RNAcentral
UACGGGGGGGGCAAGCGUUGUUCGGAAUUACUGGGCGUAAAGCGUGCGCAGGCGGUGAUGUAAGACAGGUGUGAAAUCCCCGGGCUUAACCUGGGAACUGCAUUUGUGACUGCAUCGCUGGAGUGCGGCAGAGGGGGAUGGAAUUCCGCGUGUAGCAGUGAAAUGCGUAGAUAUGCGGAGGGACACCGAUGGCGAAGGCAAUCCCCUGGGCCUGCACUGACGCUCAUGCACGAAAGCGUGGGGAGCAAACAGG